UCAUUGUGAAGCAGAAUUCACCAAGU
This 26-nucleotide non-coding RNA is filed under the name Arabidopsis thaliana (thale cress). The record is from RNAcentral. RNAcentral also lists the same sequence under 2 other names. Lineage: Eukaryota; Viridiplantae; Streptophyta; Magnoliopsida; Brassicales; Brassicaceae.